This 356-nucleotide unclassified non-coding RNA is filed under the name Hevea brasiliensis (rubber tree). Lineage: Eukaryota; Viridiplantae; Streptophyta; Magnoliopsida; Malpighiales; Euphorbiaceae. The record is from RNAcentral.
UGGGAUGAGAGAUACUACUAGAACCCUUUCAGAAAGCAAAAAGAUCAAUUCUUCCUCAAAUAACUCACUAUCUAUGGACAAUCUAAAUAUCAAUACAAGUAAGAGGCAGAACUGAUGUGAGACAUCUCAACCUCAUCAAGAUUAACAUAUGUAUAAUCGUUCCACCCAUUAUCAUGCCGAUCAUAACCUAAAGAAGGAUCAACAUUUCGCACCAUAAAGUUACUGAGCCAGGAAAGCAAAUUACCUGAUUAAACAGUUUUAUGAACUUAAAAUUUCAGGUUUUUGCCCAUUUUGAAGAGACCCUGUAGGGAAGAAGCAUUAAACCUAAAUACACAGCUUACCUCCAUAAUAGUACG